RNAcentral lists this unclassified non-coding RNA (330 nucleotides) under soil metagenome. Its description in RNAcentral is "partial contains 5.8S ribosomal RNA, internal transcribed spacer 2, and large subunit ribosomal RNA". The stretch from base 1 to 120 matches the Rfam family "5.8S ribosomal RNA", at positions 35 to 154 of the family's 154-position model. The record is from RNAcentral.
GAUGAAGAACGCAGCGAAAUGCGAUAAGUAAUGUGAAUUGCAGAAUUCAGUGAAUCAUCGAAUCUUUGAACGCACAUUGCGCCCUCCGGUAUUCCGGGGGGCAUGCCUGUUCGAGCGUCAUUACAACCCUCAAGCUUUGCUUGGUAUUGGACAUUGCCAGUUUCUGGCAGGUCUUAAAAUCAGUGGCGGUGCCAUUUGGCUUCAAGCGUAGUAAUUCUUCUCGCUUUGGAGAUCCAGGUGGUUACUUGCCAAUAACCCCCAAUUUUUUCAGGUUGACCUCGGAUCAGGUAGGGAUACCCGCUGAACUUAAGCAUAUCAAUAAGCGGAGGA